This 465-nucleotide ribosomal RNA is filed under the name Vreelandella stevensii. RNAcentral's name for it is "partial 16S ribosomal RNA". It matches the Rfam family "Bacterial small subunit ribosomal RNA", at positions 338 to 795 of the family's 1533-position model. The record is from RNAcentral. Lineage: Bacteria; Pseudomonadati; Pseudomonadota; Gammaproteobacteria; Oceanospirillales; Halomonadaceae.
CCUACGGGCGGCAGCAGUGGGGAAUAUUGGACAAUGGGCGAAAGCCUGAUCCAGCCAUGCCGCGUGUGUGAAGAAGGCCUUCGGGUUGUAAAGCACUUUCAGUGGGGAAGAAAGCCUUGGGGCUAAUACCCUCGAGGAAGGACAUCACCCACAGAAGAAGCACCGGCUAACUCCGUGCCAGCAGCCGCGGUAAUACGGAGGUUGCGAGCGUUAAUCGGAAUUACUGGGCGUAAAGCGCGCGUAGGCGGUCUGAUAAGCCGGUUGUGAAAGCCCGGGGCUCAACCUGGGAACGGCAUCCGGAACUGUCAGGCUAGAGUGCAGGAGAGGAAGGUAGAAUUCCCGGUGUAGCGGUGAAAUGCGUAGAGAUCGGGAGGAAUACCAGUGGCGAAGGCGGCCUUCUGGACUGACACUGACGCUGAGGUGCGAAAGCGUGGGUAGCAAACAGGAUUAGAUACCCGGGUAGUC